RNAcentral lists this ribosomal RNA (292 nucleotides) under uncultured bacterium. RNAcentral's name for it is "partial 16S ribosomal RNA". It matches the Rfam family "Bacterial small subunit ribosomal RNA", at positions 505 to 796 of the family's 1533-position model. The record is from RNAcentral.
GUGUCAGCCGCCGCGGUAAUACGUAGGGGGCGAGCGUUGUCCGGAUUUACUGGGCGUAAAGCGCGUGUAGGCGGCCGUUUAAGUUGGGUGUGAAAGCCCGGGGCUCAACCCCGGGACGCCGCCCAAGACUGGACGGCUUGAGGACGGAAGAGGGGAGUGGAAUUCCAGGUGUAGCGGUGAAAUGCGUAGAGAUCUGGAGGAACACCCGUGGCGAAGGCGGCUCCCUGGUCCGUCCCUGACGCUGAGACGCGAAAGCGCGGGGAGCGAACGGGAUUAGAAACCCCAGUAGUCC